Non-coding RNA from Camellia sinensis, 1595 nucleotides. Lineage: Eukaryota; Viridiplantae; Streptophyta; Magnoliopsida; Ericales; Theaceae. The record is from RefSeq and is a predicted model, not a curated record.
UUUUUUUUUUUUUUUUUUUUUUUAAAUUGUAAGCAGUAUUUUUCUCACUUGAUUAGAUAAUUUAGAUUUGCCAAUAGUAUUUCAAGAGGUUGGGUUGGAUUUUUUAGAAUCUAAAAAAAAGAGUGUAUUGAGCAAAUGUAAAUUGGCCAAAUUAAUAAUGGAAUGCCAUAAAACAGACAAAGGAUGGAAGACUCAUUCCUCUAAGUAUCUUAAGUCAAAUAGUAUAGCUGGUAGAAUUAUAGUUUUUAUUAAAGAUCGAUUGUGAUAGUUGUUAGGUCUACCAAUAAGUUUUUUGCAAUAAGAAGAGAAAAGAAACAAGUAGCAAAGUGCUCACAAUCAUUGCAGAAAAAAUGGCCACAAUCCAUUGUUGUCGUCUCAUUGACAGGUACUUCAUCCAUGCAAACGUCACACAUUAAUUCAGAUGAAGAAUGCAGUAAGCUACUAUCCUCACUCCUUAAGAAUUUUUGAUAAAAUCUUGUUCAUAUACUUGUAUUUCAUUAUAUUUAUGUGUUUAGUUUUUCUGUUGGUAACAAAAUUAUAAAAAAUUAAGAAUAGUCCAUGUCGCUAAAAUAAAAUAAAAUGGAAUGAAAUAUCAUUCUUAUGCUAUUUACACUGGAGAAUGUGUAUGAUUUAUUUUUUUUAAUUUUAAUGUCGAGUUUAGAAGAUAAGGUAUAAGCCCUUUUUCCUCUGCAAUAAUUGUAACUACAAAAAUGCUCUGUAGCCCGAAAAACUGAGGCUCGAAUGACUCGAAUGGUACGGAAAAUAUUAUCUUACCGGUAAGAGAAUAAAAAAAAGUCCUAAAACGACGUCGUUUUGGGAUUUCGAGCUAUUUGAGCCUUUGAUUUUUCGAGCUCCAUAGCGGUGUUGUUGUAACUAUAUGCUGCUGACGGAAGAGCCUACACAAGCUAGGAUGUCGACAUAUUUAGGCAUGUGACUUUGCCUAUUUUUGAUAUACCAUGAUGUUUUAUACAGACCAUAAUAUUUUAUACGGACCAUUUUCAAUAUUGUUUUCAAUUUAUUUAUAUAUAUGAAUUUGUAAUUCAUUUUUUUAAACAUUGCAUUUGACUGUUGAAAAUUUAGCUAUUCGACAUAAAUAUUGCUAACACACGCUCUUAUAAUGCAGCUAAGUUUUAUUGAAUCAGAGAAUGUUCUUUCUAUUUUCCGUGUCAUCACGUCUUGCAGUAGCUUUCUAUUAGAAAAGAUGAGAAUGAAUUUGGCCCAUUUGCUGCUUGGAACAUAACUGGAACAUACAGAGAGACCGAGAGGAUUGAAGGCCAUGGGAAGCAGCAUGGAGAGCGAUUCAAAAUGACGGUGAAGGAUGGAUGGGGAAUUCCUUUGGAUUUUUAUUUCUCUUCUUUUUUCUUUUUUUCCUCUGAUUUGACUGGGGGGUUGGGUGUUUCGGUUCACUUUCUUCUUAUUUUUUGUAUUAAAUGGGGGAGUGGUGAGAGAGAGAAGAGGGUAAUGUUAUUUUGUGGGUUUGUAUAUAAGGUAGUAAUUUUUUGAUUGAGAAUUGUGAAUUCAAUUUUUAGAUAUGUUAUUUUGUGGGUAAUGGUGAUUGGAUAUUAAAUUGAAUAGGAAAGUGAAUUAAUGCUGUA